RNAcentral lists this non-coding RNA (117 nucleotides) under unclassified sequences. RNAcentral describes it as "Flavobacterium-1 RNA". It matches the Rfam family "Flavobacterium-1 RNA". The record is from Rfam by way of RNAcentral.
GCACGCUCGACUGCAUCUGCAUAAAGCCAUUUCCCUGGACCUAAGCUGUGAUCCGCAAGGUAGCGUCGAUACUUGGACCAGUAACGCUGAGUCACCUGAUCAGUGAGCGUUGCUGGU